RNAcentral lists this ribosomal RNA (453 nucleotides) under uncultured Porphyromonadaceae bacterium. RNAcentral's name for it is "partial 16S ribosomal RNA". It matches the Rfam family "Bacterial small subunit ribosomal RNA", at positions 341 to 792 of the family's 1533-position model. Lineage: Bacteria; Pseudomonadati; Bacteroidota; Bacteroidia; Bacteroidales; Porphyromonadaceae. The record is from RNAcentral.
ACGGGAGGCAGCAGUGGGGAAUAUUGGUCAAUGGGCGGAAGCCUGAACCAGCCAAGUCGCGUGAAGGAUGAAGGUAUUAUGUAUUGUAAACUUCUUUAGACGUAGAGAAAUAAGGGUGUCGUGACACCUGAUGCUAGUAUACGUAGAAUAAGGAUCGGCUAACUCCGUGCCAGCAGCCGCGGUAAUACGGAGGAUCCGAGCGUUAUCCGGAUUUAUUGGGUUUAAAGGGUGCGCAGGCGGUCUUUUAAGUCGGUGGUUAAGUCGUGGGGCUUAACUCCAUCCGGCCAUUGAUACUGGAGGACUUGAUUGCGGUUGAGGUUGGCGGAAUUCGCCGUGUAGCGGUGAAAUGCAUAGAUAUGGCGAAGAACUCCGAUUGCGUAGGCAGCUGACCAAGCCGAUAAUGACGCUCAUGCACGAAAGUGCGGGGAUCGAACAGGAUUAGAUACCCUGGUA